UCCGACUAUUUCUAGAUCUGCAAUUAAAUUUCUUGUUAUGUAUAUCUGAGCAAAACAUUAAACAUAUACUGUCCAAGGGAACUUCAGAAAGAAGCUGCUUACCCCAAGUCGAUAAGAACCAAAAGUUAAAAUGACAGCAUUUGCAUCCUCAACCAUCUGAUCAAUGUACCCUCUCAGUCGAGUAAGAUCUUUCACCCAGUCCUUCACAAUCUGCUUUAGCUGGCAGAGAACUCCUUCUCUCUUAGCAGCCUCCUCAGCGCUUUCAUAAAGUCCAGCACCGACCAAGAACUUUUCCAACUCUUUGGUACGCUGAAUAUCAGCCUCCAUAGGUCCUGCUAGAGACAAGGGUUUCGUUACCCCAUACUCCUUAGGCAGUGGAACCUGCUGGGUCGGUGGCAAAGUAAUGGAACAAUUGGAAACCCCCAUCACUUAAACAGGACAGAAUUUAAAAACUUCUUGUGGUAGUUCGAUAUAAGGACCAAAGAUUCAAUCUUUAAAGAGAAAAUAUGGAGAAAUUGACCAACAAACGGAUCGGAAAUUCGAAAUUCAAACUCUUAUAGAAGCGAAAGUUGAAUUUUGG
RNAcentral lists this unclassified non-coding RNA (580 nucleotides) under Hevea brasiliensis (rubber tree). The record is from RNAcentral. Lineage: Eukaryota; Viridiplantae; Streptophyta; Magnoliopsida; Malpighiales; Euphorbiaceae.